This 2853-nucleotide long non-coding RNA is filed under the name Citrus x clementina. Its description in RNAcentral is "Citrus clementina (C. clementina) long non-coding RNA (CCLE_LNC006127)". Lineage: Eukaryota; Viridiplantae; Streptophyta; Magnoliopsida; Sapindales; Rutaceae. The record is from RNAcentral.
GAAGCAGGCGCCCUGGCCUUCUGUCGGUUAUUUUUGGGCGCGGCAUUUCCCGCGGCCUAUUUAUGGCACACGGAGGCCCUUCGCAAAGGCUCGCGGCAUUCCAAGUCCGAGUCCGGCGGACGAAGUUGGCCAGCCCCACCCCCCAAGGCUAUAGCCCACCCGUGUUUGUGGCCUUUUUCCGCUGGACGAACUCGGUGCCCCGGCCUUCGGGUGGUUAUUUUUGGGCGCGGCUUUGCCCGCGGCUUAUUUUUGGCACACGGAGUCCCCUCGCAAAGUCUUGCGGCAUUCCCAGUCUGGCGGACGAAGUGGGCCAGCCCCACCCCCUAAGGCUAUAGCCCACCCGUUUUUGUGGCCUUUUUCCGCUGGACGAACUGGGCGCCCCGGCCUUCGGGCGGUUAUUUUUGGGCGCGGCUUUUCCCGCGGCCUAGUUUUGGCACACGGAGGCCCCUCGCAACGUCUCGCGGCAUUCCAUGUCCGAGUCCGGCGGACGAAGUUGGCCAGCCCAACCCCCCAAGGCUAUAGCCCACCCGUGUUUGUGGCCUUUUUCCGCUGGACGAACUCGUCGCCCCGGCCUUCGGGUGGUUAUUUUUGGGUGCGGCUUUUCCCGCGGCCUAUUUUUGGCACACGGAGGCCAUUCGCAAAGGCUCGCGGCAUUCCGAGUCCGGCGGACGAAGUUGGCCAGCCCCACCGCCCAAGGCUAUAGCCCACCCGUUUUUGUGGCCUUUUUCCGCUGGACGAAGCAGGCGCCCUGGCCUUCGGACGGUUAUUUUUGGGCGCGGCUUUUCCCGCGGCCUAUUUUUUGCACACGGAGGCCCCUCGCAAAGUCUCGCGGCAUUCCGAGUCCGGCGGACGAAGUUGGCCAGCCCCACCCCCCAAGGCUAUAGCCCACCCGUUUUUGUGGCCUUUUUCCGCUGGAAGAAACUUGGCGCCCCGGCCUUCGGGCAGUUAUUUUUGGGCGCGGCUUUGCCCGCGGCCUAGUUUUGGUACACGGAGGCCCCUCGCAACGUCUCGCGGCAUUCCAAGUCCGAGUCCGGCGGACGAAGUUGGCCAGCCCCACCCCCCAAGGCUAUAGCCCACCCGUGUUUGUGGCCUUUUUCCGCUGGACGAACUCGUCGCCCCGGCCUUCGGGCGGUUUUUUUUGGGCGCGGCUUUGUCCGCGGCUUAUUUUUGGCACACGGAGGCCCCUCACAAAGUCUUGCGGCAUUCCGAGUCCGGCGGACGAAGUGGGCCAGCCCCACCCCCCAAGGCUAUAGCCCACCCGUUUUUGUGGCCUUUUUCCGCUGGACGAACUUGGCGCCCCGGCAAUCGGGCGGUUAUUUUUGGGUACGGCUUUGCCCGCGGCCUAUUUUUGGCACACGGAGGCCCCUCCCAAAGUCUCGCGGCAUUCCGAGUCCGGCGGACGAAUUUGGCCAGCCCCACCCCCCAAGGCUAUAGCCCACCCGUUUUUGUGGCCUUUUUCCGCUGGACGAACUCGGCGCCCCGGCCUUCGGGCGGUUAUUUUUGGGCGCGGCUUUGCCCGCGGCCUAUUUUUGGCACACGGAGGCCCCUCGCAAAGUCUCGCGGCAAUCCAAGUCCGGCGGACGAAGUUGGCCAGCCCCACCACCCAAGGCUAUACCCCACCCGUUUUUGUGNNNNNNNNNNNNNNNNNNNNNNNNNNNNNNNNNNNNNNNNNNNNNNNNNNNNNNNNNNNNNNNNNNNNNNNNNNNNNNNNNNNNNNNNNNNNNNNNNNNNUUUUUGGCACACGGAGGCCCCUCGCAAAGUCUCGCGGCAAUCCGAGUCCGGCGGAGGAAGUUGGCCAGCCCCACUCGACAAGAGUAUAGCCCCAAUGUUGUUUGUGGCCUUUUUCCGCUGGACGAACUUGGCGCCCUGGCCUUCGGUCGGUUAUUUUUGGGCGCGGCUUUGUCCGCGGCCUAGUUUUGGCACACGGAGGCCCCUCGCAAAGUCUCGCGGCAAUCCGAGUCCGGCGGACGAAGUUGGCCAGCCCCACCCCCCAAGGCUAUGCCCUCCCGUUUUUGUGGCCUUUUUCCGCUGGACGGACAUGGCGCCCCGGCCUUCGGGUGGUUUUUUUUGGGCGCAGCUUUGCCCGCGGCCUAUUUUUGGCACACGGAUGCCCCUCGCAAAGUCUCGUGGCAUUCCGAAUCCGGCGGACAAAGUUGGCCAGCCCCACCCCCCAAGGCUAUAGCCCACCCGUUUUUUUGGCCUUUCUCCGCUGGACGAACUUGGCGCCCCGGCCAUCGGGCGGUUAUUUUUAGUUGUGGCUUUGCCCGCGGCCUAUUUUUGGCACACGGAGGCCCCUCCCAAAGUCUCGCGGCAUUCCGAGUCCGGCGGACGAAGUUGGCCAGCCCCACCCCCCAAGCCUAUAGCCCACCCGUUUUUGUGGCUUUUUUCCGAUGGACGAACUUGGCGCCCUGGCGUUCGGUCGGUUAUUUUUGGGCGCGGCUUUGUCCGCGGCCUAGUUUUGGCACACGGAGGCCCCUCGCAAAGUCUCGCGGCAUUCCGAGUCCGGCGGACGUAGUUGGCCAGCCCCACCCCCCAAGCCUAUAGCCCACCCGUUUUUGUGGCUUUUUUCCGAUGGACGAACUAGGCGCCUCGGCCUUCGGGCGGUUAUUUUUGGGCGCGGUUUGCCCGCGGCCUAGUUUUGGCACACGGAGGCCCCUCGCAAAGUCUCGCGGCAUUCCGAGUCCGGCGGACGUAGUUGGCCAGCCCCACCCCCCAAGGCUAUAGCCCACCCGUUUUUGUGGCCUUUUUCCGCUGGACGAACUUGGCGCCCCGGCCUUCGGGCAGUUAUUUUUGGGCGCGGCUUCUCCCGCGGCCUAUUUUUGGCACAAGGAGGCCCCUCCCAAAGUCUCGCGG